Molecule: long non-coding RNA, 1170 nt
Organism: Melopsittacus undulatus (budgerigar)
Lineage: Eukaryota; Metazoa; Chordata; Aves; Psittaciformes; Psittaculidae
Exons: 3
Source: RefSeq, a predicted model, not a curated record
CAAACAGUUUUGUGCAGAGGCUUGGUUUAUUUCAUAAGCUGCUUUCCUCCUGAGACAGUUAUGUAGCAAAGAGAAUGUCUAAAUGAAAAGUAGCUUGGAUUUGAAGCGGAUAUGCUGGGGUGAGGACACAAAACCAAAUGGAGUAGCUUGGAAUAAAUUUGCAGAUUCAUGUGUAGAAUCUAACUAAGCUAUUCUAUUCCUGUAGAAAGUGCAUAUUUUCCACCCCAUAGCUUAAGGGACUGCAUGAGGGAAGUUUUCCAUUACUUGUAUCACACAAAUUAUACUGGGCCAGAUUUGUUGUUUUUCUUAGUGGGUAUAGAAGGUUUUUGUCUAUGGGUAGUGUACUGACUAGAGAUACAGAAGACCUGCAUUUAGAGACUUGUAGAAGUGAAAUGGUCCUGGGGCACAUCCAUUCAUGUACUUACAACAGCUCCAUUUACCUGAAAGUAAGAUGGUUGUAAUCAGUGAACAGACGCUUGUGUGAUGUGAAAGUUAGGGGAAAGCUGGGUGUUAUUGUACAGUCAUUUAAAUUAUUAGUAGUCAAAAAGCUUUUCUUUUGAUGGGUAUCAUUUGGUUAAACAGAUUACAAACAAAUGGAGAAUGUGCUCCCAACAGUAGAGUAGAUAACUGCUGAUUGUGCAGUCAUUCAGGAUGUAUAAUCCAGUGUAUAACACAUUGCAUAGUUGUUCCUUGGUUAUGUAUUUCUUGUGGACAUGGCAAGCACAGUCUUGAAAAAUAGCAUAGAGAUAUUAAACCAACUAAUCAGCUGGGUUAUUCUUCCUUUAGAAGAUUCUUUUUGAAACUUACUAUUUCAGUGACCUACUUAAAAUUCUGUACAGCAAAGAAACUAUUCCAAAUCCAAGAGCUCAGGUGAAAGCGUUACAUCACCCCUCCCCAAGAAACUACAUUUCUUGAGCAAACACCCACUGAAUUAUUUUAAUUAAAGGUUUUAGGGUAGGAGUCAGUCUUCUGGGAGACUUAGUGUUGUGUAAGCAACACUGUGUAAGCAGAACAAUUAUGAGAAAUUUAAAGUAACAAAAAACUGGAGAGAAGUGACCAUGUUCCUGCAGAGAGGAGCUCAGAGCCAUUGAAAUCUUCUUCCCCCCCCAACAUGUAGUUCCUUGGCACAACUGACUCUGUCUGAACACCUGGUACUGACUUCUGUUGGCA